Molecule: ribosomal RNA, 459 nt
Filed under: uncultured bacterium
Lineage: Bacteria
Description: partial 16S ribosomal RNA
Rfam family: Bacterial small subunit ribosomal RNA
Source: RNAcentral
CCUACGGGGUGCAGCAGUGAGGAAUAUUGGUCAAUGGUCGGGAGACUGAACCAGCCAAGCCGCGUGAGGGAUGAAGGUACAGAGUAUCGUAAACCUCUUUUGUCAGGGAACAAAGGCGGGGACGUGUCCCCGGAUGAGUGUACCUGAAGAAAAAGCAUCGGCUAACUCCGUGCCAGCAGCCGCGGUAAUACGGAGGAUGCGAGCGUUAUCCGGAUUUAUUGGGUUUAAAGGGUGCGCAGGCGGUCUGUUAAGUCAGCGGUAAAAGCCCGGGGCCAAACCCCGGCCCGCCGUUGAAACUGGCAGUCUCGAGUUGGAGAGAAGUAUGCGGAAUGCGCGGUGUAGCGGUGAAAUGCAUAGAUAUCGCGCAGAACUCCGAUUGCGAAGGCAGCAUGACGGCUCCACACUGACGCUGAGGCACGAAAGCGUGGGUAUCGAACAGGAUUAGAUACCCCAGUAGUC